RNAcentral lists this small RNA (1322 nucleotides) under Pan troglodytes (chimpanzee). RNAcentral's name for it is "retained intron". The record is from RNAcentral. Lineage: Eukaryota; Metazoa; Chordata; Mammalia; Primates; Hominidae.
AAGGAGGCCGGGGGAGUGCUGAGUUUUCACCAGCUGUUUCCCGCCUUGAAACAGACAUCUGAUCAGCUGCAAACACACACACACACACACACACACACACACACACAUACACACGCCCGGGGAGGCAGGCCGGAGAGACCUCCCUCCCGCCCCUCCCGCCCGCCUCCCUCCCCUCGCCGCCGCCGCCGCCGCCGCCGCCGCCAGCAUCUGGGACCGGCCGAUUCUGCACCUCCGUCCGGCGCUGCCCUUUGAUUCGGAUUUCCAUCUUGCAUUCUCCGGCUGAUCGCGGGACCUGGCUCGUGCAGAGGAGGGGGGCCGAUCGCUAUGGAGUAUUUCAUGGUGCCCACUCAGAAGGUGCCCUCUUUGCAACAUUUCAGGAAAACAGAGAAAGAAGUGAUAGGAGGGCUCUGUAGCCUUGCCAACAUUCCACUAACCCCCGAGACUCAGCGGGACCAGGAGCGGCGGAUUCGGCGGGAGAUCGCCAACAGCAACGAGCGGAGACGCAUGCAGAGCAUCAACGCGGGAUUCCAGUCCCUCAAGACCCUCAUCCCCCACACAGACGGAGAGAAGCUCAGCAAGGCAGCCAUUCUCCAGCAGACAGCCGAGUACAUCUUCUCCCUGGAGCAGGAGAAGACCAGGCUCUUGCAGCAGAACACACAGCUCAAGCGCUUCAUCCAGGUGCGCCCUGUCCUUCAUGGCUCCCUCUCCCUGGCAUGGGCAUGCCUUGGACCCAGCCAUGGGCCUGGGACUCAGGUGUGGCUGCAGGCCGCUUCUUGCCCACUGACAAGUACUUCCAGGCACUUUUUUUUUCUGCCCCGGCCUCAGUUUCCCCAUCGGUCAAGUGCGGUGGAGUGGGCUCUGGAAGGAGCCAGGUGACUGUUAUGUAAAGCAGCCCAUUCUCCUGGCAUUUGGCUGGUUUGUUGGACUUGCAGAAGGGGCUCCCUAAUGAAGAUUCACCUGUGUUGGGCAGCUUUGGGGGGCUGCGAUGGAACCCCAAUCUCCGUGGUGGUACCGAGGUGUCAGGCACACUGACCGACUCCUUGGGGUCCCCAGGAGCUGAGCGGCUCGUCCCCCAAGCGACGGCGGGCAGAGGACAAGGACGAAGGCAUAGGCUCCCCGGACAUCUGGGAGGACGAGAAGGCGGAGGACCUGCGGCGGGAGAUGAUUGAGCUGCGGCAGCAGCUGGACAAGGAGCGCUCGGUGCGCAUGAUGCUGGAGGAGCAGGUGCGCUCGCUGGAGGCCCACAUGUACCCGGAAAAGCUCAAGGUGAUUGCACAGCAGGUGCAGCUGCAGCAGCAGCAGGAACAGGUGAGGCUGCUGCA